Phascolarctos cinereus (koala) is the source of this 761-nucleotide non-coding RNA. The record is from RefSeq and is a predicted model, not a curated record. Lineage: Eukaryota; Metazoa; Chordata; Mammalia; Diprotodontia; Phascolarctidae.
AGAUGACAUCCAGUGUAUGUGCAAUGUGAAGGGUUCUCUGUCAGCUCUUACGUUCGGUGUGUUAAGUUCCCUUCUGGUUCCCACACUCUGUAUUCCCAUGUUCCUUCAUUCUGUGUUCUGUGUUCAUUCUUCUAACAUCCCUUCAAGCUCUGAUGCUGUUAGCUUUGUCAAGAGGCUUUGCUUCCAUUGGGGGCAGUUGCUGUCCAGGGUCCCUGGGACAGUGCUGUCCUGGUGAUGGCUUUGCCUCAUGACCCCAGUGGCUUCUGGCUGUCCCUGCAGGUUUUAAUGAGCCGUCACCAACUUUGUCAAGUACCUUGGUCUGUCUGAGGAAUUUUACCACGGAACCAAGUCUGGAACCUGUUCCGAUUGGGGAUGUGGAGAACAUGGGGGGCUGCCAUUUACAUACAGAAGUUGUGAGGCAUCCUUUGUCAUAGCUGCAAUCUUCCCAGCAAUUGUCACAAGAGUCAUUUCACCUUGACAAAUAUGGCCCAAGAUUAGGAAAGCCACGCCCUGUUAGAAUGAAUGAAAGGAGAGGAAAAAUGAAAAACAAUUUUUUUAGCCAACAAACCAAGUCAUCCAUGCAGUCUGGCCGUGCACUUGGCGUUCCAAACCCACAGUCACCUACCUCUGCAAAGGAAGGAAGGGGCGUUCAUCCAGAUGUUCUCCGGGGCCAGACUUGUCUAUCUCUCCCCUCCCGCUUUUCUUACCCAUCAAGCCCUCCCUCGUAACAAAGAAUCACAAAGAAAGAGGGACGGAAAAAG